CUGCAGAAUGCAGUUGAGAUGCAUAGAAAAAGUCUGGGCCUACUUACACCUAUUUGCUAGCAUGUCUUCGAAGAAUGUUACUAGAGAGAAGCAGGUACAGCCCUGUGAUUAUUAUACUUUGAACCUGAUGCUGUGCUGAACACAUAAAAGAGCACUUAUGAUGAGAGAUUGGAAAGAGAAUGAAAAAAAGGGAGCAAGAUCAUCCAGAGAACCAUGAAGUAGUGACCUUGAGUGAUGAGAUGAAAAGUGUCAGGACAGGAUGAGACCUGUAUACUUGGAAUUUUUUCUAGAAAUAUCUAGAAAACAAAGCAAGAGAAAUAGAAGUAUUUGUAGCUUU
Molecule: long non-coding RNA, 337 nt
Filed under: Pongo abelii (Sumatran orangutan)
Lineage: Eukaryota; Metazoa; Chordata; Mammalia; Primates; Hominidae
Description: lincRNA
Source: RNAcentral